This 253-nucleotide unclassified non-coding RNA is filed under the name uncultured Acidobacteriota bacterium. Its description in RNAcentral is "uncultured Acidobacteria bacterium contains 16S-23S intergenic spacer region". It matches the Rfam family "Bacterial small subunit ribosomal RNA", at positions 524 to 776 of the family's 1533-position model. Lineage: Bacteria; Pseudomonadati; Acidobacteriota. The record is from RNAcentral.
UACGGGGGGGGCAAGCGUUGUUCGGAAUUACUGGGCGUAAAGGGUUUGUAGGUGGCCGACUAAGUCAGACGUGAAAUCCCUCAGCUUAACUGGGGAACUGCGUCUGGGACUGGUCGGCUUGAGGGCCGGAGAGGAACGCGGAAUUCCAGGUGUAGCGGUGAAAUGCGUAGAUAUCGGGAGGAACACCUGUGGCGAAAGCGGCGCACUGGACCAUAACUGACGCUGAGGCGCGAAAGCUAGGGGAGCAAACAGG